AGUGAACGCUGGCGGCAGGCCUAACACAUGCAAGUCGAACGGCAGCACAAGAGAGCUUGCUCUCUGGGUGGCGAGUGGCGGACGGGUGAGGAAUGCAUCGGAAUCUGCCCAUUUGUGGGGGAUAACCUCGGGAAACCGGGACUAAUACCGCAUACGACCUACGGGUGAAAGCAGGGGAUCUUCGGACCUUGCGCAGAUGGAUGAGCCGAUGCCGGAUUAGCUAGUUGGAGGGGUAAAGGCCCACCAAGGCGACGAUCCGUAGCUGGUCUGAGAGGAUGAUCAGCCACACUGGGACUGAGCCACGGCCCAGACUCCUACGGGAGGCAGCAGUGGGGAAUAUUGGACAAUGGGCGCAAGCCUUAUCCAGCCAUGCCGCGUGUGUGAAGAAGGCCUUCGGGUUGUAAAGCACUUUUGUUGGGAAAGAAAAGCAGCCGGUUAAUACCCGGUUGUCAUGACGGUACCCAAAGAAUAAGCACCGGCUAACUUCGUG
Molecule: ribosomal RNA, 490 nt
Filed under: uncultured bacterium
Lineage: Bacteria
Description: partial 16S ribosomal RNA
Rfam family: Bacterial small subunit ribosomal RNA
Source: RNAcentral